AUGCCCUGCUUUGCUGCAGCCACCAGGCAGCCCAGUGUGACGGUGCUGCCUCCCUCCAGAGAGGAGCUGUCCAGUGGGGGCUCUGCCACACUGCUGUGCCUGGCUGACAAGGGCUUCCCCUCAGACUGGAGCCUGAGCUGGAAGGUGGAUGGCAGCAGUAGGAGUGGAGUGGCCAGUGCUGGGCUCAUGAAGGACGGUGUGUACAGCUGGAGCAGCAGCCUGACCCUCACUGAUGCUGAGUGGAGAGGAGCCACCUCAGUGGUGUGUGAGGCCAGCCAGGGAUCCCAGAGAGCCGUCAGCAAAGCCCUGAGCAGAGCUGACUGCUCCCAGUAGCCUCCAGCCUCUCCUCUCCUCUGCUCUGCUCUGCUCUGCAGCUUACAGCUUCACUUCCAGCUUCAUACAUACACCAAAAACACGCCAGAGUAAAAACUGCAGUAUUAAUUCAGAUUGUAUUUGUUCCCAGACUUUAAUGUUGAAUUAAUACUGGAUUUGUACUGUGUAGUCUCUCCAUCUCACUGACUUGCUUCUGUUGAGCUCUGAUGCA
Molecule: non-coding RNA, 544 nt
Organism: Engraulis encrasicolus (European anchovy)
Lineage: Eukaryota; Metazoa; Chordata; Actinopteri; Clupeiformes; Engraulidae
Source: the annotation of a RefSeq genome assembly